This is a long non-coding RNA of Myotis davidii, 1329 nucleotides long. RefSeq lists it as uncharacterized. NCBI's taxonomy places the organism in Eukaryota, Metazoa, Chordata, Mammalia, Chiroptera, Vespertilionidae. The record is from RefSeq and is a predicted model, not a curated record. The transcript is spliced from 3 exons.
UUAGCAUAUUAGCUCUCUAUUAUAUAGGAUUCCCGUGGUCAUGUGAAAUCAAAUCCAGGUCUUGUCUACUAACGAAUCCCCUUGCCACCAGCCGCCCAUGCUCCACCUGCACCAUCAUCUCUUGGGGACAAAAAUCUCCCCGAAGGCCUGCGCCCUGAGCCGAGCGACUCGAACCGAGGAAGUGAGAUGCCUGUCGCACUGGCUUUGAACGAGCUUCUUGACUUCCUGCAAAGAGGCCGCGGGGCCGCGCUUUUGGAGAAGUUAGUGAAACCGAAUCUGACAUCACCACCCACCGCCCCUGGAGACCAGCGAGUGGCUCGUUCUCAGGGCGGCAGAGGAGGAAAUCGCUGGGGUCUGAGAAGACAUCCGCGAGGGAGGGACGCAUGCUGGGCCACAGGCCGAUCUCCUGAUAAUGACCAUGGAUUUGUGGCUGAAGCUGCUGGCUUUGGCCUGUGUCUGUCUGGACGCCGGGGUCGUCGGGCAAGGUAAGGACCUGGGACUCUGACGACUUCCUCUCCGAGCGUUUGCUUGAGGGGGGACAUCGCUCUGAGACACGGACAUAGGAACAAGUGAAGGGGUAGUGACCGGAAGGGAGGGAGUGGGAUGGGCAGAGCUGUCCGAGCUCAGACAGACCCUGGCUCGCGCUGAGACCCAAGCCAUGGUUUCUGCUGAAAAAAAUGCCUACCUAUUUAAGGGACAAAAAAUUAAAAUUUAAAAAAAAAAAUCACAAGUUAAAAGGAUGAGUCUUCGCUCACAGACUGUGCCAGGGGAUUACCAAAGCCAUUGUUACUCCGCCCUCGCACGGGCCUGGGUGUCCGUGUAUGAAAUCCAAGGACACGUUAAGGACCCACAUAAGUGAAUUUUUAUCCCCUUAACAAGAAAUGCAUUUUUUUUUAAAAGUCAUGCUAUGCCUUCGCUUGCACGUAGCCACCCCCACUUUCCGGACCAGCAGGCCACUUCCUCAAAUGCUGCUGAGUAGCAAUGGGCUCCGUGGCCGCCUUUGUUCCAUGGCCGUGGAAGAGAAUGCCCGUGGCCAUGUGGGAAAAGGUCACCUGUUGGCCUGUUCUUAUCCCAGAAGGUGUCUUAGGUCGAGUUCUUGGUUCCUUACCCGUCCUUACGCGUCACUGUGCGACUCACUCGCUUUGGAGAUUCGUAGGGGGCCACCGCCCUUCCUGGGUGAUGGGUGGGUGUGAGGACCUCGGCAGUGGCGAGAUAAUAACACGACCCCCCAACAAUGAAGCCCACGCGAGGCUCCUGAGGGAAAAGUGACUCAUGGGACGUCGGGGACCUUUUGACGUUUGAGAAUCUCUGUAGGCUGCUCGGUCGGUG